Molecule: ribosomal RNA, 253 nt
Filed under: uncultured Anaeroplasma sp.
Lineage: Bacteria; Bacillati; Mycoplasmatota; Mollicutes; Anaeroplasmatales; Anaeroplasmataceae
Description: partial 16S ribosomal RNA
Rfam family: Bacterial small subunit ribosomal RNA
Source: RNAcentral
UACGUAGGAGGCAAGCGUUAUCCGGAAUGACUGGGCGUAAAGGGUGCGUAGAUGGUUGAUAUAAGUCUUUUGUAAAAAUGCUAGGCUCAACCUAGUAGGGCAAAAGAUACUGAUGAACUAGAGUACGGCAGAGGCAAGUGGAACUACAUGUGUAGCGGUAAAAUGCGUAAAUAUAUGUAAGAACACCGGUGGCGAAGGCGGCCGCCUGGCCUGUUACUGACGCUGAGGCACGAAAGCGUGGGGAGCAAAUAGG